UUCUAUAUUUGCUUACAAUGGGAAGUUGAACUAAGGUGCGACUUUAUACUCAACUAUAGAUUUUGGACAAUGGAUCUUUCAGGCUAUCUCUGCACAUGAAUUAAACCAAAACAUUAUGCAAUCUCUAUUUGAACAAACAUUGAGUGUUGACACAUGCAGAUAAAUCACAGAUUACACAGAUGGAACAAGAGGAAUGGUUAUAUUGGUAUUUUUGUUCAUUACAAUCUCUUUGAGUAAGCUAUAUUAAAACAUAAAGCUUUAA
Eurytemora carolleeae is the source of this 262-nucleotide long non-coding RNA. RefSeq lists it as uncharacterized. The record is from RefSeq and is a predicted model, not a curated record. The transcript is spliced from 2 exons. Lineage: Eukaryota; Metazoa; Arthropoda; Copepoda; Calanoida; Temoridae.